This 1199-nucleotide ribosomal RNA is filed under the name uncultured fungus. RNAcentral's name for it is "eukaryotic LSU rRNA". The stretch from base 559 to 1199 matches the Rfam family "Eukaryotic large subunit ribosomal RNA", at positions 1 to 667 of the family's 3401-position model. The record is from RNAcentral. Lineage: Eukaryota; Fungi.
CUUGGUCAUUUAGAGGAAGUAAAAGUCGUAACAAGGUCUCCGUUGGUGAACCAGCGGAGGGAUCAUUAUCGAGUUUAUUCAACUCCCAAACCCUAUGUGAACUUACCACUUGUUGCUUCGGCGGCGCUUCGGCGUCGCCGGGGGUAUCAAACUCUUAUUGUUUUUACAGCAUUAUCUGAGUGGCCGAAAGGCAAAAAACAAAUGAAUCAAAACUUUCAACAACGGAUCUCUUGGUUCUGGCAUCGAUGAAGAACGCAGCGAAAUGCGAUACGUAAUGUGAAUUGCAGAAUUCAGUGAAUCAUCGAAUCUUUGAACGCACAUUGCGCCCGCCAGCAUUCUGGCGGGCAUGCCUGUUCGAGCGUCAUUUCAACCCUCGAGCCCGACUCUUCGGAGGACGGCUCGGCGUUGGGGACCGGCAGACUGCCCUCCGCCUCCGGGCGGGGGACGCCGCCCCCGAAAUUUAGUGGCGGCCCUUCGAGGCGACCUCUGCGUAGUAACUCACCUCGCACUGGGAAGAUCGAAGCGGCCACGCCGUAAAACACCCAACUUUUACAAGGUUGACCUCGAAUCAGGUAGGACUACCCGCUGAACUUAAGCAUAUCAAUAAGCGGAGGAAAAGAAACCAACAGGGAUUGCCCCAGUAACGGCGAGUGAAGCGGCAACAGCUCAAAUUUGAAAUCUGGCACCUAGUGCCCGAGUUGUAAUUUGUAGAGGAUGCUUUUGGCAAGGUGCCUUCCGAGUUCCCUGGAACGGGACGCCAUAGAGGGUGAGAGCCCCGUCUGGUCGGAUACCGCGCCUCUGUAAAGCUCCUUCGACGAGUCGAGUAGUUUGGGAAUGCUGCUCAAAAUGGGAGGUAUAUGUCUUCUAAAGCUAAAUAUUGGCCAGAGACCGAUAGCGCACAAGUAGAGUGAUCGAAAGACGAAAAGCACUUUGAAAAGAGGGUUAAAAAGUACGUGAAAUUGUUGAAAGGGAAGCGCCUAUGACCAGACUUGGGCCCGGUGAAUCAUCCAGCGUUCUCGCUGGUGCACUUUGCCGGGCACAGGCCAGCAUCAGUUUGGCUUGGGGGAAAAAGGCUUAGGGAACGUAGCUCCUCGGAGUGUUAUAGACCUUUGCAUAAUACCCUGAGCUGGACUGAGGUUCGCGCAUCUGCAAGGAUGCUGGCGUAAUGGUCAUCAGCGACCCGUCUUGAAACACGGACC